UACGUAGGGUGCAAGCGUUGUCCGGAAUUAUUGGGCGUAAAGAGCUCGUAGGCGGUUUGUCGCGUCGAAUGUGAAAACCCGGGGCUCAACCCCGGGCCUGCAUUCGAUACGGGCAGACUAGAGUUCGGUAGGGGAGUCUGGAAUUCCUGGUGUAGCGGUGAAAUGCGCAGAUAUCAGGAGGAACACCGGUGGCGAAGGCGGGACUCUGGGCCGAUACUGGCGCUGAGGAGCGAAAGCGUGGGGAGCAAACAGG
This 253-nucleotide ribosomal RNA is filed under the name uncultured bacterium. Its description in RNAcentral is "partial 16S ribosomal RNA". It matches the Rfam family "Bacterial small subunit ribosomal RNA", at positions 524 to 776 of the family's 1533-position model. The record is from RNAcentral.